GAUGAACGCUGGCGGCGUGCUUAACACAUGCAAGUCGAACGGAAAGGCUCCUGCUUGCAGGGGUACUCGAGUGGCGAACGGGUGAGUAACACGUGGGUGAUCUGCCCUGCACUUCGGGAUAAGCCUGGGAAACUGGGUCUAAUACCGGAUAGGACGAUGGUUUGGAUGCCAUUGUGGAAAGUUUUUUCGGUGUGGGAUGAGCUCGCGGCCUAUCAGCUUGUUGGUGGGGUAAUGGCCUACCAAGGCGUCGACGGGUAGCCGGCCUGAGAGGGUGUACGGCCACCUUGGGACUGAGAUACGGCCCAGACUCCUACGGGAGGCAGCAGUGGGGAAUAUUGCACAAUGGGCGCAAGCCUGAUGCAGCGACGCCGCGUUGGGGAUGACGGCCUUCGGGUUGUAAACUCCUUUCGCUAGGGACGAAGCGCAAGUGACGGUACCUGGAGAAGAAGCACCGGCUAACUACGUG
RNAcentral lists this ribosomal RNA (466 nucleotides) under uncultured bacterium. RNAcentral describes it as "partial 16S ribosomal RNA". It matches the Rfam family "Bacterial small subunit ribosomal RNA", at positions 28 to 507 of the family's 1533-position model. The record is from RNAcentral.